Molecule: long non-coding RNA, 196 nt
Organism: Sapajus apella (tufted capuchin)
Lineage: Eukaryota; Metazoa; Chordata; Mammalia; Primates; Cebidae
Exons: 2
Source: RefSeq, a predicted model, not a curated record
CAUGGUGGCAGGCACACAGGAGAGAAAGAUUUCCCCUUCUUGAUUUUCUAGAGGUAGCAGGAAUAAUCUGUCACUGCUGGAUGUGCCAGAACUUCCCUAAGGUUUUAAACCCAGCAAUAUAUAUAUAUAUGCGCCAUGCUUCAAUUUUGCUCUGAGGCAGAGUUCAAAUUUCAACUCUCCAGUCAUGAUAAAAAAU